Molecule: transfer RNA, 75 nt
Filed under: Candidatus Magasanikbacteria bacterium CG_4_10_14_0_2_um_filter_37_12
Lineage: Bacteria; Candidatus Magasanikiibacteriota
Description: tRNA-Arg
Rfam family: tRNA
About the family: Transfer RNA (tRNA) molecules are approximately 80 nucleotides in length. Their secondary structure includes four short double-helical elements and three loops (D, anti-codon, and T loops).
Source: RNAcentral
GCUCUUGUCGUUCAACGGAUAGGACACCAGUUUGCGGAACUGGCAAUGCAGGUUCGAUUCCUGCCGAGAGCACCA